GGAAUGACCCCUGAUGAGGUCAGAAAAAUAUCACGUGGUUUCAGUGAAGCAGCUGCAUUUCCAGGAAGCCAGCCAGGGCACACAGGAGGGAGGAGCAAGGCAGUAGCACCCCUAAGCCAUUUCCUGGUCUGGCCCAGCCUGAGUCUCAGAGCCAGAGAGGAGUGAGCUGGGCUCCCUUCAAAGCAAUCCCGUGCCAGGAUCUCCUGCCAGAGGAUCGUCGGCCUCAGGGGUGAGCUCUGAGACCUUCCUUGAGAAGAUGGUGGCAGGAGAGGUGCCCUCAAUUGCCAUCAGCCUGAAGGUGGCUUAUACGUCUCUAAAAAUAGUGGCUACGGGCUCUGCAGUGUGGCCUGCUGCGAUAAUAGCAGUUGUCGGGAUCGCUGGGGUCGCCGGGGUCGCCGGGGUCAUCUUAUAUCAAAAAAAGAUGAAAAUGCACAAUAAAACAGAAUAGAAAAUCCAUUGACAAGAAUCAUCUCCAAGCCCCGGACAGACAGGAGAGCCCAUGCUCCUGGGGACAGAUGUGCUGUGAGGGCAUGUGUGACAAUUUGGGUAUGACCAAAGUAAAAAACGUCCUGGAAUACACAUGUAUUGAGUGCUUACUCUGAGCCUGAGUCUUUUCCAGAACUGGGCUCUGAGUCUCGGGUUUCCAGAUCCUUCGAGGCCCAGCUGCGACCCUACCAGCCCCCACCUGGCCCGUCCAUGAGACUUGGACCAGCACCUGCAGGAGUCCAGGGGUACUUGCGGCAGCAGCUUUAGAGCAAGAAGAGGGAGGCCAAGGAGAGGGCUGUCAGGGGAGUGGCCAUCACGAGAGGACGUUGUCUGCAAACAGGAGGACGAGCAGCCAGAAAAUAGGGGCGGCCGGAGGGAGGGGUCCGCGCGGCGGGGGAGGGUCGCGGGGAGCGAGGGCCGGGGGCGCCCUGCGGGAGGGGCGUCAGCUCCGAGGAUGCUGGGUCCCUCCGGCCGCCACCGGCCAAAGGUCCAGGAACACAGCCCAGGCCCCGCAGCUCCCCGCUCCGGAGCCACCCCGGUCCCCAGCGCCCAGGGUGGUGGGAGAAGGACAAGUGGCCGUGGCCGUGUGCGCUCUUCCUCUGCGGGGAGCCGAGGUCAAGCCCGGGGGAGGUCAGGCGGUCUCCGUUGAACCCACCUUGUCCCGGGAGAGCCCCGAUCAAAACGCAAAGCCGGGCCGCCGGACAGCGGACCCUCGGCCCCCACCGCGCCAAAGCCGAAUCCCGGCAAGGUCCCGCCCCCUCGCGGGCCGAUUGGUCGGGCCUCCGCUUCGGCUCCACGCCGGGAAGACCCGGAGAAGCGGAGUUGGUCCAAGGAAUGCCCCCCCAAGCCCUGUUGCGCAUGCUCGCGCCGUGACCCCAGCUUGAGGUGACGGCCCGAACAGAGGCGGGGGCCCCCGGCACAGAGGCUGAGGGACCUGCCGCCGCUCGGUCUCCGGAGACGGAGGGCCCCGCUGCCGUCGCCGCCCGGCCGGUUCCCGGACCGCCCCCACCCUGCACCCAUCCCAGCCUCGUCCCAUCCCUGUGGCUCUUGAGAUCCUGGCACGGAUGGCAGUCGGAGGUCUGAGAUACUGGGGCAGGGAGACUUGGGCGGGAGGUAGAUGGUGGGAGAGCAGAGAAGCCGGGAGAAGGGGCCAUUGGGGCGCAGCAUAGACACGUCUAAUGACAAGUUACAGUGGGUAAGUAGAAGUAACUGAUUCCAAGCCAGGUGAUUCGGGGAAAGGAGAUGCCAUUACAUGAAACUCCCUCUCUGGAGACGCUCUUCUCUGCACACGAUAGGGCAGCAGUUCAUCUGGGUCUUAGCACUGCUUUGAAAAAUCUCCCUGUAGGGAUGUGUACCCGCAGACCUAUCCGGGCCCAGAAGCCCCCCCAAGGACCACAUGGGACAGUGAUUAUGGAAGAGGCAGCUGUCGGUAUCCCUGGUAACUUUUGAAAAUGAGGACUUCACCCUUGCCUGCUUGCUAUUGAGAACACCUGCUCCAUUCGCUGCCACAACUGUUAUCCAGGCGAACCAGUGCAGAGAGGGUUUAGGGUAGCUGGUAGUCAAGGAUGCAGGUGUGGGUGACCAUUGAUGGUAUUUUUCUCCCAUGUGUAGGACGGUAAGUCCACUGCCAGGCAGUGAUCAAGGGAUUGGACCUCAUGUCAGCUACCUAUGGCUGUCUUAAAUUACCACAAAUUCAGUGGAUUAAGACAACACGGCUUGGUAGUAAUCUAACAGUUCUGAAGGUCAGAGGUCUGACCUGGGCCUCCCUGGGUUGAAAUGCAGAUGUGGGCAGCGCUGUAUUUCUGGGGACUCCAGGGCCCCCUGGCUCGCAGCUCCUCCCUCUUUUUCAGGGCCAGCCAUAUGGGGUCUCUCCUCUCUCCGACUCUGCUCCCAUCAUCACACCGCUUUUUCUGACCCUCCUGCCUGCCUCUUCUUCUUUUUAGAACCAUUGUGAUUCGACCCACCUGGAUAAUCCAAACUACCCUCCUAGUUUAGUAGCCUUCAUGCCAUCUGCCGCCUGAACGCCCCCUUUACCAUGUAAGGGCCACACCCAUGGCAUCUGGAGGUUCCCAGGCU
RNA transcript from Phacochoerus africanus (Common warthog), 2562 nucleotides. It is a transcript of the gene named FLYWCH family member 2, with no coding region annotated. The record is from RefSeq and is a predicted model, not a curated record. NCBI's taxonomy places the organism in Eukaryota, Metazoa, Chordata, Mammalia, Artiodactyla, Suidae. The transcript has 8 exons.